AGUGAACGCUGGCGGUAGGCCUAACACAUGCAAGUCGAACGGCAGCACAGUAAGAGCUUGCUCUUACGGGUGGCGAGUGGCGGACGGGUGAGGAAUACAUCGGAAUCUACUUUUUCGUGGGGGAUAACGUAGGGAAACUUACGCUAAUACCGCAUACGACCUACGGGUGAAAGCAGGGGGUCUUCGGACCUUGCGCGAUUGAAUGAGCCGAUGUCGGAUUAGCUAGUUGGCGGGGUAAAGGCCCACCAAGGCGACGAUCCGUAGCUGGUCUGAGAGGAUGAUCAGCCACACUGGAACUGAGACACGGUCCAGACUCCUACGGGAGGCAGCAGUGGGGAAUAUUGGACAAUGGGCGCAAGCCUGAUCCAGCCAUACCGCGUGGGUGAAGAAGGCCUUCGGGUUGUAAAGCCCUCUUGUUGGGAAAGAAAAGCAGCAGGUUAAUACCCCGCUGUUCUGACGGUACCCAAAGAAUAAGCACCGGCUAACUUCGUG
RNAcentral lists this ribosomal RNA (492 nucleotides) under uncultured bacterium. Its description in RNAcentral is "partial 16S ribosomal RNA". It matches the Rfam family "Bacterial small subunit ribosomal RNA", at positions 29 to 507 of the family's 1533-position model. The record is from RNAcentral.